CCUACGGGAGGCAGCAGUGGGGAAUAUUGCACAAUGGGGGAAACCCUGAUGCAGCGACGCCGCGUGAGUGAAGAAGUAAUUCUGGAUGUAAAGCUCUAUCAGCAGGGGAGAAAAUGACGGUACCUGAAUAAGAAGCCCCGGAUACCUACGGGCCAGCAGCCGCGGGCAUACGGAGGGGGCAAGCGGUAACCGGGUUUACUGGGGGGAAAGGGGGCGUAGACGGGAGUGCAAGGCUGGAGGGAAGGGCGGGGGCUCAACCCCCGGACUGCGCUGGAAACUGUACGGCUGGAGUGCAGGAGAGGUAAGUGGAAUUCCUAGUGUAGCGGUGAAAUGCGUAGAUAUUAGGAGGAACACCAGUGGCGAAGGCGGCUUACUGGACUGUAACUGACGUUGAGGCUCGAAAGCGUGGGGAGCAAACAGGAUUAGAUACCCCAGUAGUC
Molecule: ribosomal RNA, 440 nt
Filed under: uncultured bacterium
Lineage: Bacteria
Description: partial 16S ribosomal RNA
Rfam family: Bacterial small subunit ribosomal RNA
Source: RNAcentral